GACAGAACACGCUGCUUCCUAUGUCCCACGUUCCCCUCGUUCGGUAGCUCUCCACCCGUAGGCGCAGGGGCCUCAGAAUCCCUAUCUGUCUCGGACGGAGUGGUGUGCUGGAGCCUGAGCUCCCGCAGCAGCUUCCAGAACCAUCGAGCAACACGCUGGGCAGUGCCGUGCUCACAUGGGCGGUGGCUACCUGAGCCACGGAGACGGGCCAGCCCUGCAAGCCAGGGCUCUUCCGCUUCGACAAGGAUGGACAUUAUCUGAUAAGUUAUUGAGAUAACUCCGUUGGAGGACUGGCCUCUUGCUGCCUGUUCCCACUGCCCUCGUAUGCUGUGGUGUGACUGUGUCAGGUCAUUCCCUCUGGUCUCCUGGUUUCUGGUCUUCCGUGAUCCUGCCAGACAGAAACUCGUAAUGAUUCUAUGACUGUCAAAGAUAUGUGAUGAUCACUCACCUGGAUUUAUUUAUCUAUUUUUCACUAAGAAGAUAAUUUAACCAACACAUAAACCGCAAGCCUAGAGGGCUUGCAUGAACUGCAAAACAUCUUCAGCACCCUCGGAAAAAACAAACAGAAGCCCUCCAGGGGGAGAGGGUCGUACCCCGAAAGGCCCGAAGGGCAGAGACAAAAUAAGAAAGAGGAUGACCUCACGACUGGUAAAAAAGCUGGGAUAAUAGUGUUAUAUAUAUUUCAGCUCUUUUAUUCCACGGUAGGUCUUGGAGUUACUGUAAAUAUACAUUUCUUUAAAAACAGAAUUAUAAAUUACUUUCAAUAAAGGCACUGAAUGCCUGAACGUUUUCCCAACUUGGCUCUGAAAUGCACAUCGAUAACAUCUGACCAAGCAUCCUCACGCAGGAGAAAAAUUCAAAUAAAUUGCGUUUAAUGUUUAUGGUUUUUUGGGAGGGAGGCAGUAAGAAAUAAAAACCACCUGAGUGAGUACUAUUAUCAGGUUAGUGUGCAGGACAGAAAGAAGCUUUGGGAAUUAAUAGCCACAUGCUGUUCGGUCAGCUGAAGAAAAGCUCAAUGGAGCGUGUGGCCCUCAGAAGAAAGUUUCCUCCUAUAAAAUGAAAAUAGAUGUGGAUCUCUGUGGACCCGAAGGAUGGUCCAGUAGAGAAAAAAGGUUGGAAUUGGAGUCUGAAUGUUAGGAGGCCAGAAGAGUGAUUCUGGAACACUCACUCGGAGGUAAACGACAAAGUC
This is a long non-coding RNA of Acinonyx jubatus (cheetah), 1189 nucleotides long. RefSeq lists it as uncharacterized. The transcript has 5 exons. The record is from RefSeq and is a predicted model, not a curated record. Lineage: Eukaryota; Metazoa; Chordata; Mammalia; Carnivora; Felidae.